UGCGCCGCUUGGAGCCCGCAGCUUGGCCGUGCCUGUCUCUGCUCGGGCUCGAGCAGAGCACAAUGCUCCAGGAGUGUUGACCCCGUUUCUGACCUCCCUCCCGCAUGCUUGCUAGAGGAGCUGCCUCGCUGGAGCAUGGAGCCACUGCCAUGAAGGGCCACCCCCCGGAGUUUUGACGCGUUGCCUAGGAGCUCCACCAUCGGCCAGGUCCCGCGUCAAGUCGCUGGAGCCACCAGUUGCCCCCGGAUCCGCCACCAAGACCAACCCGUCUACCUCGCCUGACUCACCGCCGCUGGAUCACGAUCUUGCCUGCCCAGCCCUCCUUGGCAUCCCUUGCACCUCGCUGCCCCAGAGUGGCCUAGUCAUGAGCUCCUCGCCGCUAGGCCAGGCGGACUCCGCUGCCCUGGAUCUCGCCGCCAUCGGGGACCGGUAUCCGAGGGUCGGGGUCGUCCAUCCCUUGCCCAUGCCGACAGCAAGCCGCCGCACCAGCACCUUCAUCACCGACCAUGCCAGAUUGCUUUCGGAGAGGAGCACAAUGUCAUCAACCCCGGAACCUAGGAGUCGAGGAUAGCAACCUUGUGAGAUAGGAAAUUAUCCAGGUCAGCUGUUGCUGUGGGAAAGGAGUCCCAUGGGCACUGUAGAUUCCUCUUGUCGCUUCCGCUGUGAGCCUCAGACUUUUGUACAACCCUAUGGACCUUCUCGGUCUUGUAACCCAAAUUCUGUAAUUUGGCUUGGGAUUUCUGUAUCAAGUGAGUGUCCACCAGCUAACAGUAAUCCUGGAGCAAGUGAACACAAA
Long non-coding RNA from Hordeum vulgare subsp. vulgare (domesticated barley), 796 nucleotides. RefSeq lists it as uncharacterized. The record is from RefSeq and is a predicted model, not a curated record. The transcript has 3 exons. NCBI's taxonomy places the organism in Eukaryota, Viridiplantae, Streptophyta, Magnoliopsida, Poales, Poaceae.